Molecule: ribosomal RNA, 468 nt
Filed under: uncultured bacterium
Lineage: Bacteria
Description: partial 16S ribosomal RNA
Rfam family: Bacterial small subunit ribosomal RNA
Source: RNAcentral
GACGAACGCUGGCGGCGUGCUUAACACAUGCAAGUCGAACGGAAAGACCCUGCUUUUGCGGGGUGCUCGAGUGGCGAGCGGGGGAGUAACACGCGAGUAACCUGCCCUUGACUUUGGGAUAACUUCAGGAAACUCGGGCUAAUACCGGAGAGGAGCUCCUGCAGCAUGGGGGGGGUUGGAAAGAUUCGGCGGUUGGGGAUGGACUCGCGGCUUAUCAGCUGGUUGGUGGGGUAGUGGCGUACAAAGGCUGCGAAGGGUAGCCGGCCUGAGAGGGUGACCGGCCACCUUGGGCCUGCGGUACGCACCAGUAUCCAACGGUCGGCAGCGGUCGGGAGCCUUACACAGUGGGGCGGAGUGUGUGGUGGCGGCCCCCCGUUCGGGAUGCCGGCCUACGAGUGGAAAACCGCUUUCGCCUGUGACGUAGCGUGAGUGACGGUACUGGGUCAGAAAGCACCGGCUAACUACGUG